CCAGUUUGGGCCUUCAACUUCAAAAGGUUGAAAACAAUUCAGGGAUCCGUAAGACAGGGAACAGCCUUCAUCCAACAGGAUAACUGGCUUAUUUUUAAGGUAUUAGAUUUAAAUGGCCUACUGAUGGAAUUAGAAUAAAUCAAUAGGAAAUAUAGUAAUUUUAGUAAGAUAAGUAAGUGAUGAUAAGCCUUAGUUUAAAGAAUUUUUAGGAAUUAGGGAAAAUUAGGCAAAUAAUCCCUUCACACCGAGUACGAAGAGGAAUAUUGAACCCUCUAGGCUCUAUUAUUAAAAUUAUAACUGGAAAACUUAGAUCAGGAAGAUGCUCAACGAUAUGAACAGUUAAUAAAUCAAUUAGGUAAUCAACAAAAUUUCCACAAACAAGCGUUUAACGGUUUCCAAAAUGUUAGAUGGACUCAACUAAUUCAUCAGAAAUAUUACACAAUAACUCAAAAUUAUGGACGAAAGACUAAAACAUGUAAAAAAUAAAAAAAAUUUAAAAGACAUAAGUAUAAUGCAGUAUACUCUACAUAUGUUUUAAGUUUAUAUAAUCUUUUUGUAAGUAAUUUUAGAACGCUUUAUAUAAAAAUAAGCGAAUUAGAAAGAUACGAUUAAUAUUAAAUCAUACAUAUUAUUAGAUAGACAGGAAAAUAACUUUGUAUUAGAGGUAGCUUUAAUAGCCAAUUCAACUUAUAGUUAUAAUAGAAUGUAUCCCUUACCAUAUUUUUAAUGACCCUAAAAACCUAACCUUAAUAAUCAAUCCUAAAUAUCCCUAUAUCCUGGUGAAAGGUGUAACAUACUUACCGCUUAUACAGCCUUGCAAACAAGUCUCUGAGGAAAAUUAUCUCUGCACACAAGAAAACAGGGGCACCGUUUUCUGAAACGACAUGCAUUGAGGAGCUGAUGACCUUCAAGGAAAACCCAUCCAACUGUGACCAGAAUACAGUAAUUAUAGAAGAGAAAAUAUGUCAUCAGAACGUAUCCCAUCCAUUAAGCUGCUGGAGUUACAGUUAACAGUGAACUCUAAGGAAAAUCAGAAUCCAGUAAACUUACAAGGAAUGGAGCUCAGUGACCUGCAACACAUGUCUUACAUGCUGUAACAACUUAACAGAGAUAGUGAUAGUGAAAUGGGCAAUUCAGUGAAAGUGAAAAGCAUUAGUUUAGGCACUCUUUUAUUGUAUUUUGCUAAUUGUUGUGUUUUUUAUAAAAAUAAGAUUAUUAAUAUGUUGCAGUGGCGAAAUAAUCAGAAUUUGCAUGUGCAAUUCCCUGAUAAUUUCGCUCUUAAGGAGGGAGGAGUUAUAUAAUCCCGUGUGUCACCACCAUAGGAUAAUUAUAUUUUAUAUAAACAAAAACCAUUGCAACAUAGUAGUACAAAGAUCCUUUAUAUUUCAAUAGCUGAAGUGCUGUUACAUGAUUUACGAACCACUCUUACAUGAUUUACGAACCACUCUUAGUUCUUACUAAGUAACGUUUCCUUGUAGAGCGUGAGAACAAUGUGUCAGCACAACGGUCACGUAGGCCUUUAAGAAUAGGAUAUAAAUAUAAUAGAAUACUUGUAAUAUUUAGUAUUAAACGGACCUCAAAUCGGA
This is a long non-coding RNA of Pieris napi, 1586 nucleotides long. RefSeq lists it as uncharacterized. Lineage: Eukaryota; Metazoa; Arthropoda; Insecta; Lepidoptera; Pieridae. The transcript is spliced from 2 exons. The record is from RefSeq and is a predicted model, not a curated record.